This 253-nucleotide ribosomal RNA is filed under the name uncultured bacterium. RNAcentral describes it as "partial 16S ribosomal RNA". It matches the Rfam family "Bacterial small subunit ribosomal RNA", at positions 524 to 776 of the family's 1533-position model. RNAcentral also lists the same sequence under 2 other names. The record is from RNAcentral.
UACGUAGGUGGCAAGCGUUGUCCGGAUUUAUUGGGUUUAAAGGGUGCGUAGGCGGUUCCAUAAGUCAGUGGUGAAAUACGGCAGCUCAACUGUCGAGGUGCCAUUGAUACUGCGGAACUUGAGUACUGAUGAGGUAGGCGGAAUUGACGGUGUAGCGGUGAAAUGCUUAGAUAUCGUCAAGAACACCGAUAGCGAAGGCAGCUUACCAAGCAGUAACUGACGCUGAGGCACGAAAGUGCGGGGAUCAAACAGG